AGAGUUUGAUCUGGCUCAGAAUCAACGCUGGCGGCGUGCCUAACACAUGCAAGUCGAACGCGAAAGCCCCUUCGGGGGUAAGUAGAGUGGCGUCCGGGUGAGUAACACGUGGGUAAUCUACCUUCGGGUGGGGAAUAACUCAGGGAAACUUGAGCUAAUACCGCAUAAUGCAGCGGCACCUAAUGGUGAUUAGUUGUUAAAGCGGGGGAUCGCAAGACCUCGCGCCUGAAGAGGAGCCUGCGGCAGAUUAGCUAGUUGGUGAGGUAAUGGCUCACCAAGGCUUCGAUCUGUAGCUGGUCUGAGAGGACGGCCAGCCACACUGGCACUGACACACGGGCCAGACUCCUACGGGAGGCAGCAGUGGGGAAUUUUGGGCAAUGGGCGAAAGCCUGACCCAGCAACGCCGCGUGAGGGAGGAAAUCCUUCGGGAUGUAAACCUCACAAGCAAGGGAAGAGAGCUACGGGCUGAAUAAUCCCGUAGUGCGACGGUACCUUGCGUAAGCCACGGCUAACUACGUGCCAGCAGCCGCGGUAAUACGUAGGUGGCAAGCGUUGUUCGGAAUUAUUGGGCGUAAAGGGCGCGUAGGCGGCUUGUUAAGUCGGCUGUGAAAGCCCGGGGCUCAACCCCGGAGAGUCAGCCGAUACUGGCAGGCUAGAGUACGGAAGAGGUAGCUGGAAUUCCCGGUGUAGCGGUGAAAUGCGUAGAUAUCGGGAGGAACACCUGAGGCGAAGGCGGGCUACUGGGCCGAUACUGACGCUGAGGCGCGAAAGCCAGGGGAGCGAACGGGAUUAGAUACCCCGGUAGUCCUGGCCCUAAACGAUGGACACUUGGUGUGUCGGGUAUUCCAGUCCCGAUGUGCCGGAGCUAACGCGUUAAGUGUCCCGCCUGGGGAGUACGGUCGCAAGGCUGAACUCAAGGAAUUGACGG
RNAcentral lists this ribosomal RNA (928 nucleotides) under uncultured bacterium. Its description in RNAcentral is "bacterial SSU rRNA". It matches the Rfam family "Bacterial small subunit ribosomal RNA", at positions 8 to 916 of the family's 1533-position model. The record is from RNAcentral.